RNAcentral lists this long non-coding RNA (4312 nucleotides) under Sus scrofa (pig). Its description in RNAcentral is "lncRNA (ENSSSCG00000061831.1)". The record is from RNAcentral. Lineage: Eukaryota; Metazoa; Chordata; Mammalia; Artiodactyla; Suidae.
GCAGUGGCUCUGGUAAAUUUAAAUGUGGUGCUAGGAAGCUUUCACUGAGAAGGUGCCAUUGGAGCAAAGAUGUAAAGGUUGAAGGCAGCAAGCCUUAGAGAUACCUAGGGGUGAGUUCCAGAUGCAGGGAGGAACCGAUGCUCUUUGAAGAUCAAAUUUAUUCUCUUUCCUUCCUUCCUUUUUGGCUUUAUUUAUUUCCCCAUUCCGGAAAAGAGAAAAAAAAAAAUUGUUUUUUUCAGCCUAUGCUAAGUGCCAUACCCUGUAUGAAGAUUUGCAGGUAAGAACAGGGUGUGUGGCUUUGGAGUUGACAGAAAUGGAUAAGAUAAACCAACAGGUCCAAUGGAGGGGGUUACAGGUCUCUGCCAAAGAAAAGGUAACUCCUUUCAUGGCAGGGAGUCCACAGGCAGUCUGGUGAAGCCAGAAAGGGCUGUGAGUUGCAGGCAGUGGCCAUAGGACUAGAGGAGAGAGGAAGUGUACUGGAGACAUCUAAGACCUGAAAACCUGGGGACUCAUUAACCAGUGGGGGUGGGGGCAGGGGGGAAGAAGGAGAGGUCAAAGCCAAAGGCCAGCUCAGCAGCAGGUAGGUGCGGGGAGGAGCUGCAGGCUGCCUGCAAGUGCUCCUGCUCCCUGCUCACCCACACCUCUGCCUUCCUGAAGUUCUGUCCGCUUCCUGGGAUUCUUGCUCCCCCCCCCCGCUGCCAUGUUGCCCCUCUUCCCUGGCUCAGAGCACCUCCCCAGCAUCGCCUCUUCAUCUUGCCCAAAGGCCUUCGUAGAGGCGGCAUAUCAACUCUGAGCUGUAUAGCCUGAACAUAAGAAAUCCCCGUCCAUCUCCGUUGAGAUAACUGAGAUUCCCCCCCUCGCCAAGGCCCCUUGAACCUCUCCAGGUCCCCAGUGUCAGCCAUAGAGCCUGAGCAGCCAAGGGGACCUUAUCCCUGCAGCAGGGCAAGUCCAGAGCCCUGGCUGUCCACCUGCAAGCCAGCAACCGUUGCACUGGAAUCAACAAGGGAAAUGGGAAGGGAAAGACCUGGCCUCCACGGGGGCGCCCGCCCUGGGCCCCACGCCAAGACGAGCAGGGCUUUCCGGGCAAGGAUUUCCCCUCGUGGAAUGGGAAUAGCAGCUGAGGGCAGGCGAGGAGAGAUCGGUACAGCCUGUGCUUUCCAGAAGGCUUCCUUCCACAGUCUUAUUUACUGCAGCUUCAUAACAACCCUUUGGGGGUGUGUGUGUGUAUACCCUUGAGUGUGUGCACACAGGCACACGCACUUUCUCUGAAUUACAGGUGAAGGAAAUCAAGCCACACAACUUGUCGAAGGUCAUCAGCUAGUAAGACGAAGAAUGUGGGUGAGGAGAGGACUGGAAAUGAGCACAUCCCAGGAAUGUUCGGGUUUGCAAAGUCUAGGGUGUUAGAAGGAAGGAUGAAGGAUUAAGCCCAGAAGUCCUGUCGCUGUGUCCUGGGGGGCCUCCCUGCUGCUGUUUCUCCCUCCUGCAGCCCAGCCUGACAUUCUUGCUGAGGCGGCCCCUGACGCAGGACAGGAGUGGCCGUGGCUUCCCGUGGUGGGCUCCUGGCACGACAGUUCCAUCCUGGGUCUCCAGUCUGCUCACCUGACUUUCUCCCUUGCCAGACCCUACACUCCAGUCACACCUGUCAAACUUAGUUGCUGGCACUGUUACUCUUUCAGCCUUUUGUCCCAUUAAGCAAGCCAUUUCUUGUGCCUGGUGGUCAGGGGGAGGGGACAAGGGCCACUCUUUCUGUUGUUAUAGUCUCCAAUAGUGGCACCUGUAUGACAGUAAAAUGACACUGGAGAAAGUGCGAAUGCAGGGCCUUAGACAGCAGACAAGGUGGUCAAAGGUGACACUUUUUUUUUUUAAUGUGCAACUUUCCCAAUCAACUGGGAGGGCUACCCUGACUCCAGCCCACCAGGCUAACUAGCCCAUGGGUGGGGUUUGCACCUGGCCACGCCCCUGAGUGCCUGGCCCAGUGCCUGGCACAUCAGAGACCACCAAGUGUGGGGAAUGGGGAGGCAUGAAGUCAGAGAGGGAAGUCAAUUCCUCUUCCCUCUGCUGGGACUCCCCCUCCUUAGGAAUACAUAUGCCAUUGCUUGUGUCAAAAGCACAGCUGUGGGGAAGAGGAGGAGGAGGAUGGGGAAGGGGCUGGGGGGGCAGGGAAGUGGAAUAGAAGUGGGGGGGGGUGGAGGAGGGAGCAGGAGGAGGCAUGGUGGGAAUAGAGCAGCUUCUAGUAACAAUCCCCGAACCUCUUUCAGCCGCUGGAGAAGUCCAGCCUGCCCACAGGACAGAGGAGGGUGACGCUUCCUCUGAGGAGUCUGGAGGCCAGGGCACAGCUGGCCACCCUAGGAGGUUUUCAGCGCCAUGGGCUGCAGUUCUGCCUGCUCUGCUGUCUCCCAGGGUCGUAAUGACAGCGCACCCAUGUGCUGAGAGAGUCCACGUAGUGACAGAGAGGACAGGGAAGGAGCAGCUGGGAGGGAGGGAGGAAGGGCCAGAGCCGCAGAGGCAGUGGGUGGGACCGGCAGCCAGUGCUCCCCCGUAGACAGAGGGAAGGUUCAGGGGACAGGCUGGCUUCCUAGUAAACAGUGCAGCCAACUCUAAAAAUACCCCUGCUCCAGACAGGCACCCUGAGCAACUCAGGUCUGCUCCAGCCUUCAGGGACCUCAGCCCCUUCCCUGGAAGGUCAAGGGGAUGGGAGGAAAGUCAACUUGUAAAGAGUAGGAUUUCCUUAGGGAGGAAACGAUAACAAUAUUUCCUUCCUCUGCAAAACAGAAGGGGGACACUCGAUUUUAGCAGCAGCAACAACAAAAGGCAAGAGGCAGCUUCCCUUGUUCCUUUGGUAGUUAUCUGAGGUCUGGGCUCAGCUCAGGUCUAAGGCCUAGAGAUGCAUUCACAGCCUGGGAUCAGGGAGCCGGGAGGAGGGCCAGGCUGGAAUCUCUAGCUGUUCCCCUUCUUAGGUGUGUGACUAUGACUCACCAUUUGAUGCCUCAGUUUCCACAAUUAUAAAUGGGAAUAAUGAUAAUGUUUACUUCACUUGGGUGUGGGGAGGAUUAAAUGAGGUGCUAUAUAUAAGGCUCUUAGCACACCAUGCCUGACCUGUGGGGAACACCCAGAAAGGUCUUAUUAUUAGGGUAUGUGGGAGGCUGUAACUGUGCCUCAAUUCUAAGACGUAGUUUAAAGGAAGAUUUAGUCAGAAGAUCAAGGGAGUGGUAUUGGAUACAAAGACAUGGGAAAGGUCUGAAUCAUAGAAAAGUCAAAUCCACUAUUGGACAGAUGGGGAAACGGAGGCCUGGGGAGCAGAAAGUAGAAGUUGCGCCAGGCCAGGCAUUGUCUUAGCAGCUGUAGGUUUAAUGUAAAAUAAUGGUGUGAUGAGACCGCUAAAAACCCUGGUGACAGGCAGGCUGCCCCGCUAGGAGUUAGGAGAAUGAGGCCUUGCAUUAUAUAGCACUUUUCUUUCUUUUUUUUCCCCAUUUAUAAUGAUUUUUAUUUUUUCCAUUAUAGCUGGUUUACAGUGUUCUGUUAAUUUUCUACUGUACAGUAAGGUGAUCCAGUUAGCACUUGAAUGUUGGAAAGCCCUUUCCAAGGUGAAGAUGGGUGCCUUCAGAUCAUUGACAGAGGGUGCACUCUGAGGUGUGGGGGACACUUGAUGGACACGGCCUAGCAGAACUCAUCCCCAGGGCUGGUGACUGAGUUAUCACUGCAGACGGCACCCUUGAACCCAUGGGGGAGAGGCACAGGCAGGAAGAGCUUAGCUCGGCCUAAAGGAGAAUCUUCUAAACCUGUGUUCUACGUAUGGUAGACACUAGCUAGAUGUGGCCAUGGGGUGCCUGAAAUGUGGCUAGUCUGGAUUUUAAAGACAAUAAUAAAAAAAGGUAAAAUAUCGCCAUCAUUUUUUAUUGGUUCCAUACUGAAAUGUUAUUUUUAGAUCCAUUGAGGGUAAAUAAUAUAUAUUGUUAAAAUGAAUUUUGCCUGUCCUUUUUAGUUUUUUUCUUGUGGCUUCUAGAAAGCUUAGAGCCAUACUUGGGGCUUGCAGUAUCUUUCGAUUGGGCAGUGCUGUUCUAACCAGUGCAUUUGUACAACAAUGGAACAAGCUGUCUGGCCAGGUAGUGAGCCUCUCAUUCAUGGAGAUGUUUUAAAAAGUUGUUGUUCAUAGAAGUCUUAUAGUUAGUGGGAUAAACUCUGUAAUCCUUUAAUUCUGCUUCAGUUGUGGUUCCCAGCUGUGAGUCUCCGAGGAGCACUUGCCUCUUAGACCAUGAAAAGAUGUUACAGGAAAAAAGACUGAUGGUCCAUUUAAUAUGGGAAAUUCUUGGUU